Molecule: transfer RNA, 97 nt
Filed under: Nitrososphaeria archaeon
Lineage: Archaea; Thermoproteati; Nitrososphaerota; Nitrososphaeria
Description: tRNA-Trp
Rfam family: tRNA
About the family: Transfer RNA (tRNA) molecules are approximately 80 nucleotides in length. Their secondary structure includes four short double-helical elements and three loops (D, anti-codon, and T loops). Further hydrogen bonds mediate the characteristic L-shaped molecular structure. tRNAs have two regions of fundamental functional importance: the anti-codon, which is responsible for specific mRNA codon recognition, and the 3' end, to which the tRNAs corresponding amino acid is attached (by aminoacyl-tRNA synthetases). tRNAs cope with the degeneracy of the genetic code in two manners: having more than one tRNA (with a specific anti-codon) for a particular amino acid; and 'wobble' base-pairing, i.e. permitting non-standard base-pairing at the 3rd anti-codon position.
Source: RNAcentral
GGGGUCGUGGCCUAAACCUGAGUGAUGGGGCCCAGCUAGGUAGGGCGACGGGCUCCAGACCCGUAGGCUAGGGGUUCAAAUCCCCUCGACCCCACCA